GACGAACGCUGGCGGCGUGCCUAAUACAUGCAAGUCGAACGCUGAAGGAGGAGCUUGCUUCUCUGGAUGAGUUGCGAACGGGUGAGUAACGCGUAGGUAACCUGCCUUGUAGCGGGGGAUAACUAUUGGAAACGAUAGCUAAUACCGCAUAAUAUUUACUAUUGCAUGAUAGUCAGUUGAAAGGUUCAACUGCACCACUACCAGAUGGACCUGCGUUGUAUUAGCUAGUUGGUGGGGUAACGGCUCACCAAGGCGACGAUACAUAGCCGACCUGAGAGGGUGAGCGGCCACACUGGGACGGAGACACGGCCCAGACGCCUACGGGAGGCAGCCAGAGGGAAUCGGCGGGAAUGGACGGAAGUCUGACCGAGCAACGCCGCGGGAGGGAGGAAGGUUGUCGGAUCGUAAAGGUCGGUUGUAAGAGAAGAAAGAGUGUGAGAGUGGAAAGCUCACAGUGUGACGGUAUCUGACCAGGAAGGGACGGCUAACUACGUG
This 495-nucleotide ribosomal RNA is filed under the name uncultured bacterium. RNAcentral describes it as "partial 16S ribosomal RNA". It matches the Rfam family "Bacterial small subunit ribosomal RNA", at positions 28 to 507 of the family's 1533-position model. The record is from RNAcentral.